ACUUACAUCUACAAACGCCGGGGAAUUACGAGCUACGCUUAAAACCCAAAGGAUUUGACGGUGUCCCACCCCCCUAGAGGAGCCUGUUCUAUAAUCGAUAAUACCCGCUAUACCCAACCACCUCUCGCUAUUCAGUCUGUAUACCUCCGUCGAAAGCUUACCAUGUGAACGCCUACAGUAAGUACAAUGGCUACCAACGUCAACACGUCAGGUCAAGGUGCAGCUUAAGUGGUGGAAAGUAAUUGGCUACAAUUUCUAACCUAGAACAAACGGAAGGCUAUGUGAAACCAUAGUUCUGAAGGCGGAUUUAGUAGUAAAAAGAAAAUAGAGCGUUCUUUUUAACCCGGCUCUGGGACGCGUACACACCGCCCGUCCC
RNAcentral lists this ribosomal RNA (376 nucleotides) under Odorrana graminea (large odorous frog). Its description in RNAcentral is "partial 12S ribosomal RNA". It matches the Rfam family "Bacterial small subunit ribosomal RNA", at positions 875 to 1400 of the family's 1533-position model. The record is from RNAcentral. Lineage: Eukaryota; Metazoa; Chordata; Amphibia; Anura; Ranidae.